Molecule: ribosomal RNA, 292 nt
Filed under: uncultured bacterium
Lineage: Bacteria
Description: partial 16S ribosomal RNA
Rfam family: Bacterial small subunit ribosomal RNA
Source: RNAcentral
GUGCCAGCAGCCGCGGUAAGACGAGCCACACGAACGUUAUUCGGAAUUACUGGGCUUAAAGGGUGCGUAGGCUGCGCGGAAAGUUGGGUGUGAAAUCCCUCGGCUCAACCGAGGAACUGCGCCCAAAACUGCCGUGCUCGAGGAAGAUAGAGGUAAGCGGAACUUACGGUGGAGCGGUGAAAUGCGUUGAUAUCGUAAGGAACACCUGUGGCGAAAGCGGCUUACUGGGUCUUUUCUGACGCUGAUGCACGAAAGCUAGGGGAGCAAACGGGAUUAGAAACCCCCGUAGUCC